This 2332-nucleotide ribosomal RNA is filed under the name Bacteroidetes bacterium ADurb.BinA104. RNAcentral's name for it is "bacterial LSU rRNA". It matches the Rfam family "Bacterial large subunit ribosomal RNA", at positions 14 to 2324 of the family's 2925-position model. The record is from RNAcentral. Lineage: Bacteria; Pseudomonadati; Bacteroidota.
AGGGCGGACGGUGGAUGCCUAGGCUUAGGGAGGCGAAGAAGGACGUGAUAAGCUGCGAAAAGCUGCGGGUAGGUGCAAAUAACCAUUGAUCCGCGGAUUUCCGAAUGGGACAACCCGGCACAGUGAAGCUGUGUCAUCUCAUAUUAAUAUGAGAGGCAAACGUGGGGAACUGAAACAUCUAAGUACCCACAGGAGAAGAAAACAAUAGUGAUUGCGCAAGUAGUGGCGAGCGAACGCGCAGUAGCCCAAACCUGAUUUGUAUUUAUGCAUUUCAGGGGUUAUAGGACUGCGACAUUUGUCAUUUGGAUUAAUUGGAAUUGUUCUGGAAAGUACAAUCAUAGAGGGUGAUAAUCCCGUACAAGUAAGUUUUAAUGAUGAUAGCAGUAUCCUGAGUAGCGCGGGACACGAGGAAUCCUGUGUGAAUUUGGCGGGACCAUCCGCUAAGGCUAAAUACUCCCCUAAGACCGAUAGUGAACUAGUACCGUGAGGGAAAGGUGAAAAGCACCUCGAACAGAGGAGUGAAAUAGUUCCUGAACCCGUUCGCUUACAAGCGGUCGGAGCCUGUAUAAUAUAUGGGUGACGGCGUGCCUUUUGCAUAAUGAACCUACGAGUUACUCAUUCUCUGGCAAGGUUAAGCACUUCAGGUGCGUUUUAGCCGAAGCUAACGCGAGUCUUAACAGGGCGUUGUAGUCAGAGUGAGUAGACGCGAAACCAAGUGAUCUACCCUUGGUCAGGUUGAAGGUUGGGUAACACCAACUGGAGGACCGAACCCAUGGAUGUUGAAAAAUCCUGGGAUGAACUGAGGGUAGGGGUGAAAGGCUAAUCAAACUUGGAGAUAUCUCGUACUCCCCGAAAUGCAUUUAGGUGCAGCCUGUGGUUAAGUUUAUAAGAGGUAGAGCGACUGAUUGGAUGCGAGGGUUUCAUCGCCUAUCAAGUCCUGACAAACUCCGAAUGCUUUAUAAAUGUUACCAUGGAGUGAGGGCAUGGGUGCUAAGGUCCAUGUCCGAGAGGGAAAUAACCCGGACCAUCGGCUAAGGUCUCCAAAUAUAUGCUAAGUUGAACUAACGAAGUCAGGGCGCAGCGACAGCUAGGAUGUUGGCUUGGAAGCAGCCAUUCAUUUAAAGAGUGCGUAACAGCUCACUAGUCGAGCUCUCUGGCGUGGAUAAUACUCGGGCAUUAAGCAUAUUACCGAAGCCGUGGAUUGUAGGGACAUUGCAUGCAAUGUUUCUGUAGUGGUAGGGGAGCAUUCCUGAAUUUGCGUUGAAGGAAGGAGGUAACUUCUUCUGGAGCAUCAGGAAGAGCAAAUGUAGGUAUAAGUAACGAUAAGGAGGGUGGGAAACCCUCCCGCCGAAAGACUAAGGUUUCCUGAUCAACGCUAAUCGGAUCAGGGUUAGUCGGGUCCUAAGGUGCAGCCUAAAGGCGUAGCCGAUGGACGAACAGGUUAAUAUUCCUGUACUAGUUAACAAAUAGCGAAGUGGUGACGAAGUAGUGACAGUCCUGCCGCCUGACGGAAUAGGUGGUUGAAGGGUGUAGAUGUUGAUUGCGGUAGGCAAAUCCGCCGCGAGAGUCGAACCUGAUAGUACCGUGCGUGCUUGCACAAUCGGAUAUGGAUGUAAACAGACUUCCAAGAAAACCCACUAAGUGUUUGAGAUGUUAACUACCCGUACUGUAAACGGACACACGUAGUUGUGUAGAGCAUACUAAGGCGCUCGAGAGUUUCACAGCUAAGGAACUAGGCAAAAUUGUCCCGUAACUUCGGGAUAAGGGACGCCUCCCCGCGUUGAGCGGGAGGCCGCAGAGAAUCGGCCCAGGCGACUGUUUAGCAAAAACACAUGGCUUUGCCAAAUCGCAAGAUGAAGUAUAAGGCCUGACACCUGCCCGGUGCCGGAAGGUUAAGAGGAGAUGUCAUCGCAAGAGAAGCAUUGAAUUGAAGCCCCGGUAAACGGCGGCCGUAACUAUAACGGUCCUAAGGUAGCGAAAUUCCUUGUCGGGUAAGUUCCGACCUGCACGAAUGGUGUAACGAUCUGGGCACUGUCUCAGCUGUGAGCUCGGUGAAAUUGUAGUAUCGGUGAAGAUGCCGAUUACCCGCAACGGGACGGAAAGACCCCGUGAACCUUUACUGCAGCUUUACAUUGUAUUUGGGUAAUUAAUGUGUAGGAUAGGCCGGAGACUAAGAAGCAGUGACGCCAGUCAUUGUGGAGUCAUCCUUGAAAUACGGCCCUUUGGUUAUUUGGAUACUAACUCUUUUUUUGAAGAGGACACUGUAUGGUGGGUAGUUUGACUGGGGUGGUCGCCUCCAAAAGUGUAACGGAGGCUUCCAAAGGUGCGCUCA